RNAcentral lists this ribosomal RNA (497 nucleotides) under uncultured bacterium. Its description in RNAcentral is "partial 16S ribosomal RNA". It matches the Rfam family "Bacterial small subunit ribosomal RNA", at positions 28 to 507 of the family's 1533-position model. The record is from RNAcentral.
GAUGAACGCUGGCGGCGUGCCUAAUACAUGCAAGUCGAGCGAACAGAUGAGGAGCUUGCUCCUCUGACGUUAGCGGCGGACGGGUGAGUAACACGUGGAUAACCUACCUAUAAGACUGGGAUAACUUCGGGAAACCGGAGCUAAUACCGGAUAAUAUAUUGAACCGCAAGGUUCAAUAGUGAAAGACGGUUUUGCUGUCACUUAUAGAUGGAUCCGCGCCGCAUUAGCUAGUUGGUAAGGUAACGGCUUACCAAGGCAACGAUGCGUAGCCGACCUGAGAGGGUGAUCGGCCACACUGGAACUGAGACACGGUCCAGACUCCUACGGGAGGCAGCAGUAGGGAAUCUUCCGCAAUGGGCGAAAGCCUGACGGAGCAACGCCGCGUGAGUGAUGAAGGUCUUCGGAUCGUAAAACCCUGUUAUUAGGGAAGAACAAAUGUGUAAGUAACUAUGCACGUCUUGACGGUACCUAAUCAGAAAGCCACGGCUAACUACGUG